Daphnia magna is the source of this 74-nucleotide non-coding RNA. NCBI's taxonomy places the organism in Eukaryota, Metazoa, Arthropoda, Branchiopoda, Diplostraca, Daphniidae. The record is from Rfam.
CCCGUGUGCAUUGUAGUUGCAUUGCACGUUGUGAAUGAUUUGUUUCGAGCAAUGCUUCGGCAGUGCAACGCGGG